UGAGGAGAGUCCAGCGCUGAAUCCGUUCACAUUGAAGUGGUGAGCAGGAAAUGUGGCGUAUAGGUGUGGUAUCGUAGCUCGUGUGCGUGGAACACACCCAAAGUCUCCUUGAGCGGAGCAGUUGAACCGUAGAAGGUGAAAGUCCUGUACGGGUGGUGCGCGCACGCGGCUGUUGCACACUCUAGAGUCGGGUUGCCUGAGAUCGCAGCCCAAAGAAGGUGGUAGACUUCCACAAAGACUACAUAUCACCACAAGAGGUAUAGCGAAGAAGUACUAAGGAAGAGUGUUGCAGGAGAAGCUCGAAGACAUGGAAGGAAGCGAGGAUAGAAGAGGCGAAGAUUGUCGACGUUCUUCGACAUUCGAUCAGUCGGGAUGGGUGUGUGCGGAGCGUCGUCGAGGAUCGUUCUUGCACCAUGUGACGCUGCAGCAGCACCGCGGCGUCGUAUGCCGCCUCGUCGCAUCAGUCGACGAUGUUCUCCGCGCUCAUCGAUAGUAGAAAGCAGCACCACCGCGGUGCAGCAGCCCGCGUACUUUGUGGCCGUCAUCCAUCACGAUNCUGUGUCUUCUAUGAGGAGGCGCGUAGUGUGUGCAACACAGACUACUGAUGCGCUAGGAUGAGUGGCGUGCGGUGGUACAACGACGACACAUCAUCACCUCACUUNACGUGGUGCUGAUGUGAGCGGUAUCGUGUGUUGUACGCUCACCUCUCGGGGUGACACGCUGUACGCUAAACUGAUCACGGUGUGAACGUCAAUCAUCUAUCCGACCCGUCUUGAAACACGGACCAAGGAGUUUAGCACAUGCGCGAGUCAUUGAAUACUAUUGUAAAUUCAUAGGCGUAAUGAAAGUGAAUUGUAGUGUGAACUGCUGCAUAUAUGCGAUCGACUCUUUUCUGGUCGAGCAGCAUAGCCCCGUUUAUGUUCAAGUGCGACGUGUGCGUAUGCUCUUGUAGUUUGCGUACCGACGCAUCGCGAACUGAACGGAGGAAGAGCGCAUGCGCUGAGACCCGAAAGAUGGUGAACUAUGCCUGAGUAGGACGAAGCCAGAGGAAACUCUGGUGGAAGUUCGAAGCGAUUCUGACGUGCAAAUC
This 1090-nucleotide ribosomal RNA is filed under the name Sinoichthyonema amuri. RNAcentral describes it as "partial large subunit ribosomal RNA". It matches the Rfam family "Eukaryotic large subunit ribosomal RNA", at positions 99 to 899 of the family's 3401-position model. Lineage: Eukaryota; Metazoa; Nematoda; Chromadorea; Rhabditida; Skrjabillanidae. The record is from RNAcentral.